UGAGAGUUCUCGUGAAGGUUUGCAGA
Molecule: non-coding RNA, 26 nt
Filed under: Mus musculus (house mouse)
Lineage: Eukaryota; Metazoa; Chordata; Mammalia; Rodentia; Muridae
Source: RNAcentral